AUACUCACUUUGGCAGCACAUACACUAAAAUUGGAAUGAUACAGAGAUUACCAUGGUCCUUGCACAGAGAUGACAUGCAAAUUUGUGAAGUGUUCCAUAUUUUU
Molecule: small nuclear RNA, 104 nt
Organism: Sorex araneus (European shrew)
Lineage: Eukaryota; Metazoa; Chordata; Mammalia; Eulipotyphla; Soricidae
Source: Ensembl